Molecule: ribosomal RNA, 806 nt
Filed under: uncultured bacterium
Lineage: Bacteria
Description: bacterial SSU rRNA
Rfam family: Bacterial small subunit ribosomal RNA
Source: RNAcentral
GUAAGCGCGCGCAGGCGGCUAUUUAAGUUGGAUGUGAAAGCCUAGGCUGCCGUAUAACUGCAUCCAAAACUAUUUAGCUAGAGGGGGAGAGGAAGAUGGAAUUAGUUGUGUAGGGGUAAAAUCCGUAGAGAUAACUAGGAAUACCAAAAGCGAAGGCAAUCUUCUGGAACACUACUGACGCUGAGGCGCGAAAGCGUGGGGAGCAAACAGGAUUAGAUACCCUGGUAGUCCACGCAGUAAACGAUGAAUGUUAGUCGUCGGGUAGCUAGUCUAUUCGGUGAUGCAGCUAACGCAUUAAACAUUCCGCCUGGGGAGUACGGUCGUAAGAUUAAAACUCAAAGGAAUAGACGGGGACCCGCACAAGUGGUGGAGCAUGUGGUUUAAUUCGAAGAUACGCGAAGAACCUUACCUAGCCUUGACAUAUAUUAGAACUCCGCAGAGAUGCAGAGGUGCCUUCGGGAGCUUUUAUACAGGUGCUGCACGGCUGUCGUCAGCUCGUGUCGUGAGAUGUUGGGUUAAGUCCCGCAACGAGCGCAACCCUCGUCACUAGUUACUAACGGUUCGGCCGAGGACUCUAGUGAGACUGCCUUCGUAAGGAGGAGGAAGGUGAGGACGACGUCAAGUCAUCAUGGCCCUUACGGCUAGGGCAACACACGUGCUACAAUGGUUGGGACAAUGAGACGCAAUACCGCGAGGUGGAGCAAAUCUAUAAACCCAAUCUCAGUUCGGAUUGUUCUCUGCAACUCGAGAACAUGAAGCUGGAAUCACUAGUAAUCGUAGAUCAGCUAUGCUACGGUGAAUACGUU